CCUUGCUUCACUCAGGUUCUAAAAUUAAAUUUAAAAAAACUUUUUUUUUUGUUUUUACAAAAUCCAAGAUAGCUAUUUAAAUAUUAUAUAUUUAGAAAACAAAAUGUUGGUGUUAAAAAUAUUAACUAAUGAUCAGGGCUCAGAUUUUAUAGCACUUGCUAAUUAAUAUAGGAUACAAAUAAAAAUAGCAGAGUGAACUUAACAUAUUUUGUUUUAAACACCUGAGACUCCAAAUAAAAAAUUGUAUACUGUUAUUUUUUGUAUAUUUGAAGUAUUUUAGAUUUAAAAAAUUUUAUUCCGUUCACCAAGUACAAAACAAAAUCAUCAAAAGCCAAGUAACUGUCCUACAAGCUAUGCCUGGGCAAAACAAAAAAUGAAAAAAUAAAUAUAAAAAAAUUGUCAAGUGUUUCACUUACUGAAAAUGAAUGAAUGUUAUAGAUUUUAAAAUUUAAGUAAAUUGAAAUCUUCUGUAAAUACAAUACAAUAAUAUUAUUGUAACCUUGAGUGGCUAAGUAAAUCAACUUGUACCAUGUGAUCCAUUUAAGUGGGUACAUUCAUUAUCUCAGAAAGUAAUACAUUUUUCAAUAAUUUGUUUCCUAGAAAAUUUAAGAAACAUGCUACUCAACAAUUGUAUAUUUAUGUUAUUUGUUGUCACCCUUAGAUUCAGGAAUAAAACCACUACCUACUUUUGAUUUUCAAAUGGCAACCUAUAUUAGAAACUCCAUUAAUAGACGGUGUAUUAGUUAAAAAAAAUUGAUUUCUGUCAAGCUGUUGAUGAGAUAUCCCAAUUUUCAGUUGGAUUGGAGGAGAGUAGUGGUGCAUUGUAGUGUACACGCCAAGCACCGCACCACCACACAAAUAAUACUUCACUACUCUCCUCCAACCCAAACUUAAAAGUGGAAUAUCAAUCAAUAGAUCGACAGAAAUUAAAAAUUUCAACACUAAAAUUUAUUUUAACUAAUACUC
Non-coding RNA from Cinara cedri, 966 nucleotides. NCBI's taxonomy places the organism in Eukaryota, Metazoa, Arthropoda, Insecta, Hemiptera, Aphididae. The record is from the annotation of a GenBank genome assembly.